UACGAAGGGUGCAAGCGUUACUCGGAAUUACUGGGCGUAAAGCGUGCGUAGGUGGUCGUUUAAGUCCGUUGUGAAAGCCCUGGGCUCAACCUGGGAACUGCAGUGGAUACUGGGCGACUAGAGUGUGGUAGAGGGUAGCGGAAUUCCUGGUGUAGCAGUGAAAUGCGUAGAGAUCAGGAGGAACAUCCAUGGCGAAGGCAGCUACCUGGACCAACACUGACACUGAGGCACGAAAGCGUGGGGAGCAAACAGG
Molecule: non-coding RNA, 253 nt
Filed under: bacterium
Lineage: Bacteria
Also listed under: 6 other names
Description: partial 16S ribosomal RNA
Rfam family: Bacterial small subunit ribosomal RNA
Source: RNAcentral